RNAcentral lists this non-coding RNA (782 nucleotides) under Archips sp. 2019HN00066. Lineage: Eukaryota; Metazoa; Arthropoda; Insecta; Lepidoptera; Tortricidae. The record is from RNAcentral.
AUAAAUAAAUUUUUUAUGAUUUAAAUAAUUUUUUAAAAAAUUAUUUUACAUAUAAAUUUUAGUGUUAAUUUUUAAAUAUUUUAAUAAUAUUUAAUUUAAUUAAAUUAGUAAUUAAUAUUAAAAAUUUAAGAAAUUAAGAUUUAGUAAUUUUAAAAUUAAUAACAAAUUUUGUGCCAGCAGUUGCGGUUAUACAAAAAUUAAAUUAAAUUUUAUUAGUAAUAAUAAAUAUUAAAUUAAUUAAUUUAAAUAUUAAAUUAAUAAGUGAAAUUUUAAUUUAAUUAAAAUUUAUUUUAAUUUAUAUGAUUUAAUAAAUUUUAUUAUAAACUAGGAUUAGAUACCCUAUUAUUAAAAAAUUAAUUAAAAAAUACUAAAAUAGUAAAUAAUUAUUUAUUGAAACUUAAAUAAUUUGGCGGUAUUUUAGUUCAUUUAGAGGAAUCUGUUUAUUAAUUGAUAAUCCACGAAUAAUUUUACUUAAUUUUAUAAUUUUGUAUAUCGUUGUUAAAAAAAUAUUUUUAAAAAAAUUUAAUAUUUUAAAAUUUAUAUUAAAAAUUAAAUCAGAUCAAGAUGCAGAUUAUAAUUAAGAAUAUAAUGGAUUACAAUAAAUUUAUUUAAAUGAAUAUUAAAUUGAAAAAUUUAAUUGAAAGUGGAUUUAAAUGUAAUUUUAUUUAAUUUAAUAAAAUGAUUAAAAAUUUAAAAUAUGUACAUAUUGCCCGUCGCUUUCAUUAAUAAAUUGAAAUAAGUCGUAACAAAGUAGGGGUACUGGAAAGUGUUCCUAGAAAGAU